UCUGGCAUUCCGAAUGGCGGAGCCCAGGUGAAAUGUCGUUUGUUGCUGUCCUAUUCCGUGGCGUUAAAUCAUAAAAGUUAACCUGUGCCGCUAUUCCAUGGACUGAAUCCAUUGGUGGAAACUGACGACAAAUCAGUGACAACUGACUGACGUGAUGUCAUUCAGCAAUACUUCUCACAUGCGUGCCCAAAGAGGCAAAGACACGGGGGAGUUGUGCCUGCUUCAGCUACGAGGCCAGCAUAAUUCGACUACCCAACCGACGGCCUGGUGGGUCAACUCACCCAUCACUGACUCCUACUACCCCUGCUCUCAACAUAGCAAAGGACAACAAUGUUGUUCUAAACUACAGGUUUCUAAAUCUGCAUGACAGAAUUUCUGAGAAGUCAUGUCCUUUGAAGAGAAAGGACAAAAACUAUACAUUCAACAAGGUCCCUUAUUUGGUAACCAGUUGGCUGCUACCAUUAAAUCUCCCUCUUUACUUCCUUCUCGAUUUGAGGGUAACUCCUUUGCUACUUAUCAUGGACUUCAUCCAUUGGUGAAAACGACAGAAGAGUGUUGUAAUUCAAGACUGAUAAUUUCUAUGCAUUUUGUCGAUAUGUCGUCUCUUGCUACCUGUACCGCCGUUGAGUUGAUUCGUUCGUCGCCGUUCCUUAGACUUGAUCCAGUGGUGAAACUAUGAAGACGUUACUGAAAUUCAAGAUCGAUAUAUCAUAUAAAUGUUCAUAAAUUACAAGUGCAUAUCUGGGCUCCCUUCUUCAGUGGCCCCGUUUCCCUAAAUAACCACUAACCAACGCCCGCCGGUGGUCACUCACUUGCUGCGACAACCAGGAGGAAGGGAGAUGUUUGGUCGAACGGGGACUUGCAAGGCGCAUGAUUCGAUGAAAUCUGUUGGAGGGUCAUGAGUCUAAGCCGGAAGCCUACUAUGACACACUGCUCUCAUAAUAACUGCUCCUCAGCUCUCUUCGCUCUUUUUCCGGUUUCUCUUAACCAUGGCCGGGUAAUCUCCCUGGUCGAGUCAGUCGCGCAGUGUCUCCCCCUGCUCGACUGGCAGCAAUUUGGACUGGACGGUCUGUUUAGUAUAUAAACCAUGCACAAAAA
Molecule: long non-coding RNA, 1098 nt
Organism: Daphnia pulicaria
Lineage: Eukaryota; Metazoa; Arthropoda; Branchiopoda; Diplostraca; Daphniidae
Exons: 5
Source: RefSeq, a predicted model, not a curated record